AUUUUGGACAAUGGGGGAAACCCUGAUCCAGCCAUCCCGCGUGUAUGAUGAAGGCNUUNNGGUUGNANAGUACUUUUGGCGGANNNNNAAAGGCAUCCCCUAAUACGGGAUGCUGCUGACGGUAUCUGCAGAAUAAGCACCGGCUAACUACGUCCCAGCAGCCGCUGUAACACGUAGGGUGCAAGCGUUAAUCGGAAUUACUGGGCGUAAAGCGUGUGUAGGCGGUUCGGAAAGAAAGAUGUGAAAUCCCAGGGGUCAACCUUGGAAAUGGAUGUGUAACUGGCGAGCUAGAGUAUGUCAAAGGGGGGUAGAAUUCCAAGUGUAGCAGUGAAAUGCGUAGAUAUGUGGAGGAAUACCGAUGGCGAAGGCAGCCCCCUGGGAUAAUACUGACGCUCAGACACGAAAGCGUGGGGAGCAAACAGG
RNAcentral lists this ribosomal RNA (423 nucleotides) under uncultured bacterium. Its description in RNAcentral is "partial 16S ribosomal RNA". It matches the Rfam family "Bacterial small subunit ribosomal RNA", at positions 361 to 776 of the family's 1533-position model. The record is from RNAcentral.